Molecule: ribosomal RNA, 495 nt
Filed under: uncultured bacterium
Lineage: Bacteria
Description: partial 16S ribosomal RNA
Rfam family: Bacterial small subunit ribosomal RNA
Source: RNAcentral
GACGAACGCUGGCGGCGUGCCUAAUACAUGCAAGUAGAACGCUGAAGGAGGAGCUUGCUUCUCCGGAUGAGUUGCGAACGGGUGAGUAACGCGUAGGUAACCUGCCUGGUAGCGGGGGAUAACUAUUGGAAACGAUAGCUAAUACCGCAUAACAGUAGAUAUUGCAUGAUAUCUGCUUGAAAGGUGCAAUUGCAUCACUACCAGAUGGACCUGCGUUGUAUUAGCUAGUUGGUGGGGUAACGGCUCACCAAGGCGACGAUACAUAGCCGACCUGAGAGGGUGAUCGGCCACACUGGGACUGAGACACGGCCCAGACUCCUACGGGAGGCAGCAGGAGGGAAUCUUCGGCAAUGGACGGAAGUCUGACCGAGCAACGCCGCGGGAGUGAAGAAGGGUUUCGGAUCGGAAAGCUCGGUUGUAAGAGAAGAACGAGUGUGAGAGUGGAAAGUUCACACUGUGACGGUAUCUUACCAGAAAGGGACGGCUAACUACGUG